UCAUUCUCGAUUAUGUAGAGUUUCCCACAACUAAAAAAACAAAGUCACACAUUUGGUUUUGUCGGCUUAAGUUUUCACUUUUCUGAUCUUCUCUCUCUGUUUUGUCGAUUCGUUGGUUGUAUUCAAGAUGACUACUUCGUCCUGCCAAGAAAACUUUGUCGAUGGAGAAGAAGAUGAAGUUAUGGGUGAAGGUGAAGAGGAUGAUACAAAUUUUGUAGAUGGUUAAACCGGUUCCAAAAAGAAAGCCAAAUCAAGAGGUUCUGGGUCUACUUCCCAAGUAGAAAUUAAGACAAGGUCUGCGGUGUGGGCUCAUUUUACAAGGCUGCCAAAUGAUAGAAACAGAUGCAAGUGUAACUACUGUGCUUUAGGGUUGAAGUGUGUCACCACUUCGGGAACUUCAAAUUUGAGUAAACAUCUUACAACAUGAAAGCCAUACAUUGCUUGGAAGCAAAGAGCGACUCAGCAAAAUUUGAACAGCGGUAGUGGAGUUACUGCUGGGAACAUGCAAGUGGGUAGAGUAUCAGAAGCGUUUUUUAGAGAGGCAUGUAAUGAGAUGUUGGUGUUAGGUGAGCUACCUCUUGCUUUCAUUGAAAGCAUAGCAUGGAGACACUUCUGCAGACGGGUUCAACUUUACCAGCCACAUUCCAGAAGGACAGCCACCCGAGAUAUUGUUCAAAUGUAUGUGAGCCAAAAAGCUGCCUUGAAGACAAUGCUUGUAGCUCAAAAGCAAAGAGUCUCCCUCACUACUGAUAUUUGGGUCGCACAAAGCACAAGAGCAAGCUACAUGGUAAUUACUUGUCAUUUUGUUGAUUCUUGUUGGAGGUUAAGAAAGUUGAUCAUCGGGUUUAAGCAUGUCUUGGACCAUAAAGGAGCAACCAUAGCUGAUGUUCUUCUAGAUUGUUUGGCAGAAUGGGGGAUAGAGAGGGUCUUCAGUUUGUGAGAGAGUUGGAGAGCUAAUUUAUGAAGCCUCAUUUCAUAGACCUAAAGCUGCCAUGGGCAUCAGCCACUUACUGAUGUUUAUAUAUUUUACCCUGUUUUCCCUUA
Molecule: long non-coding RNA, 1044 nt
Organism: Camelina sativa (false flax)
Lineage: Eukaryota; Viridiplantae; Streptophyta; Magnoliopsida; Brassicales; Brassicaceae
Source: RefSeq, a predicted model, not a curated record